This is a small nuclear RNA of Sapajus apella (tufted capuchin), 104 nucleotides long. NCBI's taxonomy places the organism in Eukaryota, Metazoa, Chordata, Mammalia, Primates, Cebidae. The record is from RefSeq and is a predicted model, not a curated record.
GUGCUCGCUUUGGCAGCACAUAUACUAAAAUUGGAAGGAUACAGAGAUUAGCAUGGCCUCUACACAAAGAUGACAUGCAAAUCCAUUAAGUGUUCCAUAUUUUU